RNAcentral lists this ribosomal RNA (499 nucleotides) under uncultured bacterium. RNAcentral's name for it is "partial 16S ribosomal RNA". It matches the Rfam family "Bacterial small subunit ribosomal RNA", at positions 28 to 507 of the family's 1533-position model. The record is from RNAcentral.
GACGAACGCUGGCGGCGUGCCUAAUACAUGCAAGUCGAGCGAAGUUUUUCUGGUGCUUGCACUAGAAACACUUAGCGGCGAACGGGUGAGUAACACGUAAAGAACCUGCCUUAUAGACUGGGACAACUAUUGGAAACGAUAGCUAAUACCGGAUAACAGUAUUUCUCGCAUGAGAGAUAUUUAAAAGUUGGUUAUGCUAACACUAUGAGAUGGCUUUGCGGUGCAUUAGCUAGUUGGUGGGGUAAAGGCCCACCAAGGCGACGAUGCAUAGCCGACCUGAGAGGGUGAUCGGCCACACUGGGACUGAGACACGGCCCAGACUCCUACGGGAGGCAGCAGUAGGGAAUCUUCCGCAAUGGGCGAAAGCCUGACGGAGCAACGCCGCGUGAGUGAAGAAGGAUUUCGGUUCGUAAAGCUCUGUUGUUAGGGAAGAAUGGAUAUGUAGUAACUAUACAUGUAAGAGACGGUACCUAACCAGAAAGCCACGGCUAACUACGUG